AUUGAACGCUGGCGGCAUGCCUUACACAUGCAAGUCGAGCGGCAGCGCGGGGGCAACCCUGGCGGCGAGCGGCGAACGGGUGAGUAAUGCACCGGAACGUGUCCUCUUGUGGGGGAUAACCAGUCGAAAGACUGGCUAAUACCGCAUGAGCACGAGAGUGGAAAGCGGGGGACCGCAAGGCCUCGCGCGAGAGGAGCGGCCGAUGCCGGAUUAGCUAGUUGGCGGGGUAACGGCCCACCAAGGCGACGAUCCGUAGCUGGUCUGAGAGGACGACCAGCCACACAGGGACUGAGACACGGCCCAGACUCCUACGGGAGGCAGCAGUGGGGAAUUUUGGACAAUGGGGGCAACCCUGAUCCAGCCAUGCCGCGUGUGUGAAGAAGGCCUUCGGGUUGUAAAGCACUUUCGGACGGAACGAAAUCGCGCGGGCGAAUAUCCCGCGUGGAUGACGGUACCGGAAGAAUAAGGACCGGCUAACUACGUGCCAGCCGCCGCGGUAA
This 500-nucleotide ribosomal RNA is filed under the name uncultured bacterium. RNAcentral describes it as "partial 16S ribosomal RNA". It matches the Rfam family "Bacterial small subunit ribosomal RNA", at positions 29 to 523 of the family's 1533-position model. The record is from RNAcentral.